AGAACGAACGCUGGCGGCAGGCUUAACACAUGCAAGUCGAACGCUCGUAGCAAUACGGGAGUGGCAGACGGGUGAGUAACGCGUGGGAACAUACCCUCCGGUUCGGAAUAGCUCAGGGAAACUUGGAUUAAUACCGGAUACGGCUGUGAGGCGAAAGAUUUAUCGCCGGAGGAUUGGCCCGCGUUCGAUUAGCUUGUUGGUGAGGUAACGGCUCACCAAGGCGAUGAUCGAUAGCUGGUCUGAGAGGAUGAUCAGCCACAUUGGGACUGAGACACGGCCCAAACUCCUACGGGAGGCAGCAGUGGGGAAUAUUGGACAAUGGGCGCAAGCCUGAUCCAGCCAUGCCGCGUGAGUGAUGACGGCCUUAGGGUGUAAAGCUCUUUCGCUCGGGACGAUAAUGACGGUACCGAGAUAAGAAGCCCCGGCUAACUUCGCGCCAGCAGCCGC
This 447-nucleotide ribosomal RNA is filed under the name uncultured bacterium. Its description in RNAcentral is "SSU rRNA". It matches the Rfam family "Bacterial small subunit ribosomal RNA", at positions 26 to 518 of the family's 1533-position model. The record is from RNAcentral.